UAGGGAAACUUUCGCAAUGGGCGAAAGCCUGACGGAGCAACGCCGCGUGAGUGAUGAAGGUCUUUGGAUCGUAAAACUCUGUUAUUAGGGAAGAACAAAUGUGUAAGUAACUAUGCACGUCUUGACGGUACCUAAUCAGAAAGCCACGGCUAACUACGUGCCAGCAGCCGCGGUAAUACGUAGGUGGCAAGCGUUAUCCGGAAUUAUUGGGCGUAAAGCGCGCGUAGGCGGUUUUUUAAGUCUGAUGUGAAAGCCCACGGCUCACCCGUGGAGGGUCAUUGGAAACUGGAAAACUUGAGUGCAGAAGAGGAGAAUGGAAUUCCAUGGGUAGCGGUAAAAUGCGCAGAGAUAUGGAGGAACACCAGGGGCGAAGGCGACUUUCUGGUCUGUAACUGGCGCUGAUGUGCGAAAGCGUGGGGAUCAAACAGG
RNAcentral lists this ribosomal RNA (429 nucleotides) under Actinomycetes bacterium. Its description in RNAcentral is "Actinobacteria bacterium partial 16S ribosomal RNA". It matches the Rfam family "Bacterial small subunit ribosomal RNA", at positions 355 to 776 of the family's 1533-position model. The record is from RNAcentral. Lineage: Bacteria; Bacillati; Actinomycetota; Actinomycetes.